CAGGAUGAACGCUGGCGGCGCGCCUAACACAUGCAAGUCGAACGAGCGAGAGAGAGCUUGCUUUCUCGAGCGAGUGGCGAACGGGUGAGUAACGCGUGAGGAACCUGCCUCAAAGAGGGGGACAACAGUUGGAAACGACUGCUAAUACCGCAUAAGCCCACGGCUCGGCAUCGAGCAGGGGGAAAAGGAGCAAUCCGCUUUGAGAUGGCCUCGCGUCCGAUUAGCUAGUUGGUGAGGUAACGGCCCACCAAGGCAACGAUCGGUAGCCGGACUGAGAGGUUGAACGGCCACAUUGGGACUGAGACACGGCCCAGACUCCUACGGGAGGCAGCAGU
RNAcentral lists this ribosomal RNA (335 nucleotides) under uncultured bacterium. RNAcentral's name for it is "bacterial SSU rRNA". It matches the Rfam family "Bacterial small subunit ribosomal RNA", at positions 25 to 355 of the family's 1533-position model. The record is from RNAcentral.